AUGUCGCUCCGGCGCCUCCUAGGCCUUCCCGCUGCCGUCUCCGGCCGCCUAAGCCGCUCCCUCUCCACCUCCACGGGUGCCUACUCCCGUCCUCCCUGGAUCUUGCUCGACCAGGUGACGCUGACCACCGGGUCGGCAGCACUGGGCGCGUCCGUGCGCAUCGCCGAGCCCCCGCGCGCCUGCACCCUCACCGUGCCGUCGCUCCUGGUCGACGCCGGCGCCGGCCCCGACCCCGACAGCGACGUCACGCAACUCCUCAUCGGCCGCGUCUGCUCCACCAGCGCCGACGGCCUCCUCUUCCUCAUCGUCUACGAUCUCCACGCCACGGCCCCCAUCCUCGCCAAGCAGGGUGCCAACCAUGUGCGACAGCUGACCGGCCUCGACCCCGGGCACACCCCAGACAUCACGCGCUUCCUCUGCAACCCUCUCACCGCCCAACUGACCCGCCUCCCGGCCAUCGGCGCCGGCCGGGAGAAGUUCGGGUGCGGCCCUCACAUGAGCGUCCUCACCCAAUCCGGUCGCGCGCACGGGGAUCCCGGCAGGCUCGCCGUCGCCGAGCUGCAGGGGAACAUGAUGGUCCGCUUUCUCUCGGACACGGCCAGGUGGGAGGUCGCGGUCACCGCGCCGUGGCAACUCCCGCUCGCCCGGCGGGGCCGGACUGACCAAGAAGCGUUCGCCUUCGGCGGACGGCUGUGGUGAGCUGACCUGAGCUGGGGCGCCAUCUCGGCCGGCCCGUUCAGCGACCGGCCGGGGCCCCGCUUCGUGGAGCUGCCGAGGGGCAGCGUGGUGCCAGCACGCCCAGAGCGGGCGGCAGGGUACCGGCGCAUGGGGGUAAGCGAGGGGAGGGUGCGCUACGCCGAGGUGUGGGAGCGUGAGCCGUUCGUGCUCAGCUCCUAUGCGCUGGACGACGAGGGCGGCGGCUGGACGCUGGACACCGCGUGGUGCUCAGCCGGCUCUGGGCGGGUGGAGACUACCCGUGGCUGCCCUUGCCGGAGAAGACGACGCCACAAAUUGGCGCCCUUGACCCACUGA
This 1032-nucleotide ribosomal RNA is filed under the name Triticum aestivum (bread wheat). RNAcentral's name for it is "partial small subunit ribosomal RNA". The record is from RNAcentral. Lineage: Eukaryota; Viridiplantae; Streptophyta; Magnoliopsida; Poales; Poaceae.